CCUACGGGGGGCAGCAGUGGGGAAUAUUGGACAAUGGGCGAAAGCCUGAUCCAGCCAUGCCGCGUGUGUGAAGAAGGCCUUCGGGUUGUAAAGCACUUUCAGUGGGGAAGAAAGCCUUGGGGCUAAUACCCUCGAGGAAGGACAUCACCCACAGAAGAAGCACCGGCUAACUCCGUGCCAGCAGCCGCGGUAAUACGGAGGGUGCGAGCGUUAAUCGGAAUUACUGGGCGUAAAGCGCGCGUAGGCGGUCUGAUAAGCCGGUUGUGAAAGCCCCGGGCUCAACCUGGGAACGGCAUCCGGAACUGUCAGGCUAGAGUGCAGGAGAGGAAGGUAGAAUUCCCGGUGUAGCGGUGAAAUGCGUAGAGAUCGGGAGGAAUAACAGUGGCGAAGGCGGCCUUCUGGACUGACACUGACGCUGAGGUGCGAAAGCGUGGGUAGCAAACAGGAUUAGAUACCCUGGUAGUC
RNAcentral lists this ribosomal RNA (465 nucleotides) under Vreelandella stevensii. RNAcentral describes it as "partial 16S ribosomal RNA". It matches the Rfam family "Bacterial small subunit ribosomal RNA", at positions 338 to 795 of the family's 1533-position model. The record is from RNAcentral. Lineage: Bacteria; Pseudomonadati; Pseudomonadota; Gammaproteobacteria; Oceanospirillales; Halomonadaceae.